Ricinus communis (castor bean) is the source of this 3091-nucleotide RNA transcript. RefSeq lists it as uncharacterized. The transcript has 3 exons. The record is from RefSeq and is a predicted model, not a curated record. NCBI's taxonomy places the organism in Eukaryota, Viridiplantae, Streptophyta, Magnoliopsida, Malpighiales, Euphorbiaceae.
UAUUAAAAAAAACAAAAAAAGAGAGAGAGAAAGAAAAGAAAAAGGAAAAUGAAGCAAACCCAUACCUUUUUUUCCCAUUUAUAUAUUCAGGCAUUAAAUUAUUUUUUUAUUAUUUUUAUUUGGGCACCUUUGAGAAUUCUUCUCAGGUUGGAACGAGUUUCUGACAAAUGAGUCACUGUUUGUGCUGAUUGGUCUCUCAGAUUUCAAAGUUUCUCCACUUAAAAGACAAUUUCCUUCAAUAGGUCUCAAAUAAUUGAAAGGACUGUUUAUUUGUCGUGAAGUAUGAAAGAACAUCAAGCUGUGGAAACUGAUCCUUGUGGUUGAUGCUUUUUUAAUACAUUAUAGAGCAAGAGUUAUCAUACGUAGGGAAAUAUGGAGUGUAAUAAAGAUGAAGCAGUCAGGGCUAAGGAAAUUGCCGAGAGGAAGUUUACGGACAGAGAUUUUGCUGGGGCAAAGAAAUUUGCUUUGAAGGCCCAACACUUGUAUCCUGAGCUUGAUGGUCUAUCUCAAAUGUUGGUGACGUUGGAUGUGUAUGCCUCUGCAGAGAAAAGAACAAUUACGGGUGAAGUUGAUUAUUAUUGUGUGCUUGGUGUAAGCCCCUGGGCUGAUGAUGAGACAGUCAAGAAACAAUACCGGAAGCUAGCCCUUAUGCUUCAUCCUGACAAAAACAAAUCAUUGGGUGCAGAUGGUGCUUUUAAGCUGGUGUCAGAGGCAUGGAGUUUAUUAUCUGACAAGGCUAAGAGACUGGCAUACAAUGAGAAAUUGAAUGUGAUAGGAUUUCAUCAGAAUAUUUCAACCCACACUAAGGUUCCCUCAGCACCACCUACUGCUAAUGGCUUUCAUAAUAGUAGCAGUGCUGUACAAUCAGAUGCAAGGACUCAGAACAAGAAUGCUCGGGCAGGGCCACCACCAGUUCCAUCUUCUUAUAAAAAACCUGAUACCUUCUGGACUAUCUGCAACAGAUGUAAGACACAGUAUGAAUACCUGAGGAUUUAUCUAAAUCACACCCUCCUAUGCCCAAACUGUCACGAGGCUUUUUAUGCUGUGGAGAAGGCCCCUCCAAAUGUGAUGAAGCCAGCCAAUCAUUCUUCUCGCCAGAAACAUCACUCAAGACAUCGUGCUGCCUAUAGUAGCAUGUUUAACAUUGGAAGAAAUGGUGGAGUUGGUCAAAGUUGUGGACCCGAGGGGUUUGGAGUGAAUUCAUCCAAUGAUUCAGACCGACAAUGGAAUCAUUUUUCUCGAAUGGCUGGUGCUGGGGACGCGGUUCAUCAGGCUCAUCAACAAGUGAAGAGAGAGCAUGAGGAAACCGAGGCAUUGGCUGAGUGGAAGACUGGUAACUCAGCAUUUGGAGUUGACCAACUCUUUAAAAGGAGAAGAUCUGACGAAAUUUCCAUGAAUUAUUUUGGAGCUGAUGUAGGGAAUGGAAGGGCAGGGUUGGGGAGUGCAUCUGAACAAAGAAAGGGCUAUUAUGAGACAGAAAGACACUAUGGUUUUUCUGGUAUUAAUAGUAAGCCCAAUAGCAAGAGAGAGUUGUCAUUUAUUGAGCUUCGGAAUAUGUUGAUGGAGAAGGCACGAUUUGAUAUUCGUAAAAAGCUUGAAGAAUGGAGAUUAAAGCAAAUGAAACUGGAAGAAAAUAAAAAACAAAAAAGCGUUGUGAGGAAUGGUGCUAAUAACCAUAAGAAGCAUGACGAUUCUGCUGUUAUGGAAGGAAACAAAAGCAAGAAAUCUUUCCCAGGUUUUUCGUCUGAUAAUUCAAGUAAAAAUUCCCGUGCACCAAUGUCUAUUAAUGUUCCAGAUCCUGAUUUUCACAAUUUUGAUUUGGACCGAACAGAAAGUUCUUUUGGAGAUGACCAAGUUUGGGCUGCCUAUGAUGAAAAUGAUGGGAUGCCACGUUACUAUGCUCGAAUUCAUAAGGUGAUAUCCUUGAAACCAUUCAAGAUGAGGAUCAGUUGGCUCAACUCCAGAAGCAACCUUGAAUUCAGCUCUCUAGAUUGGGUAGGUUCUGGUUUCCCUAAGACUUGUGGGGAUUUCAGGGCUGGCAGACAUGAAGUCACUGGGACAUUAAAUUCUUUUUCCCACAAGGUUAAAUGGAUAAAAGGCAAUCGUGGGGUCAUCCGCAUACUUCCUAGUAAGGGAGAUGUUUGGGCUCUUUACACAAACUGGUCUCCAGACUGGAAUCAGCAUACUCCGGAUGAAGUUGUACACCAAUAUGACAUGGUGGAAGUGCUUGAUGACUAUAGUGAAGAACAAGGUGUUUCUGUUGCUCCUCUUAUUAAGGUUGCUGGAUUCAAGACAGUUUUCCAUCGGCAUAUGGACCCUAAUAAAGUCAAGAAGAUUCCAAAAGAAGAGAUGCUUCGCUUCUCUCAUCAGGUCCCAGAUCAUCUGCUUACUGAUGAGGAAGCCCCAAAUGCUCCAAAGGGGUGCCGGGAGUUGGAUCCAGCAGCUACUCCUUUGGAACUACUUCAGGUCAUUACAGAAGCCAAUGAGGCAGAAACAGUAGAUACUACUUUGAAAACGGAGGAAGAAGUGGCACCAAUUUCCACAGAAAUCAAGGUUGAUGACAUGGUGGAGAAUGCCUUUAAACCCAAGGAGGAUGGGACCAUAGAAAGUUACGAACAAGCCAAUGAAAAUUAACAAGGUUGGUAUAUAGAUGGCUGAGGAAGCCAAUGUUGUAGAUGAUCCUGAAAAAGCUGAGAAAUUACCUAAUGGAAACUGCUUAAUACACACCAAUAUAGUUUCUUUCUUCUCCGGCUAUUUAGCAAAAUGAUAAAAGAAAAGCACUUUCAAGAGAUGUGCCUUGUGGUGUGGCUGCCGUGCGAAAUUGCAAAUGCUGUUUUGCUUUGCUGCUUCUGUUUGUUGAGUGGAUUGAAAUUGCUGAGCCAUUUUCUCAGGAGGUUGGAAAUUAGGAAGAAGUUUAGUAGGCUUGGGCCAGCUUUUAGUGAGCCUGCAGGGCCGCAUGAUCAGAUUGUAAACAAACAGUGUUAUUAGUAGUAACACAACGUCCACGACCCAGGAAGGAAGAGUUCAGGCUUACAAGUAAUUUAUCAUGAAACGUAGAAUCAUGCAUGGUAUAAAUUUUUUUCAGUGCAAA